CUACCAUCUUCCCUCAGACCUAGAGGGGGAUAGCCCAGGACCCUGCAGCCAAAGACCCUGGGAAUAACUGUGGUCUCCUCCUGCUUCCCCAGCUGGAGACUACUAGCCUUGGUGGCCAAUAUCUAGAGAAUCAACCCCAUGAGAUGUGGCCUAGCAAGAAUCUCUGCAGGUCUAUAUCUCCAGCCUGGCAACAUAAGAGUCUCCGUUCCCAAAGAAAGCCCAAUACUGAAUGUCACCAAGAGAAUGAUAAUCACCAAAGCAUCCAGGACAAAGGCAUGAAAAAGAAGGCAAUUAAAAGAAUUCCGCACCCACACAGUUAUUCCAGAGCUUACGAAGGUUCGACUUGAAAAGGAGGCAGCUGGCGCAGCAGAAAGAGAUGGGGCUCUUUGGGUUGGCCGAGCAUGAGGUAGGUUAUCUGCCGAAUAUAUGGCACCAAGCAAAAUGCAGACUUGGAAAAUGAAUUAGCAGUCAGAAAGCUGAGGACUUGAGGUUCAGUCUAGAGACUUGUUCCUGCCCUGAAGUAUCAUUCCAAGGCCUGAUGUUUAUUCAAGAAACCAGAAGCUGCUCCUUGGGGAAACUUAGAUGUGAAGCCAGCAUUCAUGAUGAAUUGCAUUUUUGACCCAUUGUAACAUUUAAUAUUUUUCACAUGUUAUUAACACACUGCUCUGUAACCUCUACAGUGGAGUUAGCUCUUUUCUUGCGCUUUGAACUCAACACAUAGAAAAGGUAGCCUUUUAGUUGCAUAAGUAAACAUAGUUUCCAUUUGCUUUUGUUAUCCUACUGUUUUGAAAGGCAAUAAAAACAGCUUAGCACAGACA
RNAcentral lists this long non-coding RNA (818 nucleotides) under Monodelphis domestica (gray short-tailed opossum). RNAcentral's name for it is "lncRNA (ENSMODG00000041482.1)". The record is from RNAcentral. Lineage: Eukaryota; Metazoa; Chordata; Mammalia; Didelphimorphia; Didelphidae.